RNAcentral lists this ribosomal RNA (1105 nucleotides) under uncultured fungus. RNAcentral's name for it is "eukaryotic LSU rRNA". The stretch from base 670 to 1105 matches the Rfam family "Eukaryotic large subunit ribosomal RNA", at positions 1 to 429 of the family's 3401-position model. The record is from RNAcentral. Lineage: Eukaryota; Fungi.
UCCGUAGGUGAACCUGCGGAAGGAUCAUUAACAAAUCAUUUGGUGGCUGGAUGGGCAACCAUCCAAGCACUAUAUUAACCCGAACCUGUGCCUUUUAGGCCAGGCUAGGUGUGGGUACACCAAAUCUCCUUUGGGAGAUGCGGUAUACUCGCGGUGAAGACGCAAGUCGAAUCCACAUAGACGCUUGUUUUUGUUUGACAGAUUUCAAUUGUAUCCAAAAUUAAAUGACAACUUUUAACAAUGGAUCUCUUGGCUCUUGCAACGAUGAAGAACGCAGUGAAAUGCGAAAAGUAAUGCGAUUUGCAUGAAUCUGUGAGUCAUCAAGUCUUUGAACGCACCUUGCACCGUAUGAGCAAUUGUACGGUAUACCUGUUUGAGAAUCGUAAAACCCUCUCUCAACUAACCCUUUUCCUCUCGAGGAUUGGGGUUAGUCGAGGAUGUGUCUGUUCGUUUCCUCAACGUCGGAUCAAAUCAAGUAGGUUUGGAUCAGGCUGGUGGCCUGGGACACUAUGUGAUAGAGACUAAGAGUAGAUUCGAGUGCUUGCUUUAGGGCGGUACAAGAUGAAGCCUCCGUGUCUUCUCAUGGUGCGUCUCAAGUCAUUAAAGCUGGCCUGGUCAAUCAAUCCUUAACUGCGCUAAUCCUUAACCGGAUUAGGCAACCCCCCCUUUUGAUCUCAAAUCAGGUAAGGCUACCCGCUGAACUUAAGCAUAUCAGUAAGCGGAGGAAAAGAAACUAACAAGGAUUCCCCUAGUAACGGCGAGCGAAGCGGGAAGAGUUCAAAUUUAAAAUCUGGGUGGCCUAGCCACUCCGAAUUGUAAUUUAAAGAGGUGCUAUCUGGGCCUAGUCCGAUGCUCAAGUCCCUUGGAAUAGGGCGUCACAGAGGGUGAGAACCCCGUCUGGGCAUUGGUGCUAGGUCCUCUAUGAGGCGUUUUCUACGAGUCGAGUUGUUUGGGAAUGCAGCUCAAAAUGGGUGGUAAAUUUCAUCUAAGACUAAAUACUGGCAAGAGACCGAUAGCGAACAAGUACCGUGAGGGAAAGAUGAAAAGCACCUUGAAAAGGGAGUUAAAUAGUGCGUGAAAUUGUUAAAAGGGAAACGCUUGAAGU